AACAUAGAUGAUGAUGAGAUGAUUCACUUUAUUUUGAAUGGUCUUGAUUUUGACUACAAUCCUUUUGUGACAUCUAUGCUUGGUCGCGUUGGUUUUCUCUCUUUGAGCGAGUUAUACUCUCAAUUGCUUACUUAUGAUC
RNAcentral lists this small nucleolar RNA (139 nucleotides) under Setaria italica (foxtail millet). Its description in RNAcentral is "Small nucleolar RNA Z247". It matches the Rfam family "Small nucleolar RNA Z247". Rfam says of the family: Z247 is a member of the C/D class of snoRNA which contain the C (UGAUGA) and D (CUGA) box motifs. The record is from Rfam by way of RNAcentral. Lineage: Eukaryota; Viridiplantae; Streptophyta; Magnoliopsida; Poales; Poaceae.